Molecule: transfer RNA, 73 nt
Filed under: Canis lupus familiaris (dog)
Lineage: Eukaryota; Metazoa; Chordata; Mammalia; Carnivora; Canidae
Also listed under: 3 other names
Rfam family: tRNA
About the family: Transfer RNA (tRNA) molecules are approximately 80 nucleotides in length. Their secondary structure includes four short double-helical elements and three loops (D, anti-codon, and T loops).
Source: Rfam by way of RNAcentral
ACCUGGCUGGCUCAGCUGGUAGAGCAUGUGACUCUUGAUCUUGAGGUCAUGAGUUUGAGCCUCAUGUUGGGUG